CUGGGAAGAAUUGAAGGCAGGAGGAGAAGGGGAUGACAGAGGAUGAGAUGGUUGGAUGGCAUCACCGACUCAAUGGACAUGAGUUUGAGCAAACUCCAGGAGAUUGUGAAGGACAGGGAAGCCUGGCGGGCUGCAGUCCACAGGGUUGCAGAGUCGGACACGACUGAGCGACUGAAUGACAACAGCAGCAACAUUUAACUUCCAGUUGCCCGAUGUCACGAGCACCAUUUCAAGUGCCUAAAGUCUCCACGUGAUCCAUGGCAAACCAUGUUGGAUGGCACAGAUGUAGAACCACCCCUUUGUUGCAGAAAGUCCUACCGGGCCAGACUGACCUAGAGGACAUGAUCUCUGUUCCUAGCUUGGCUUGGGAAAGCAUUUAGACCCCCCCCCCCUCACAAAAAAAAGAAAAAGAAAUAAAGAAAACCCAGCUCUUCUUUACAAACAGGCCGUCCCUCGCAAUGUGGGAAUGUCAGGGCCUCUCGGUGAAGUGAGCAAGAGAGAAGAGAAACAAGAUGCAGCUGAGGUGGGGACGCUGUGUUUUCUCCGAUAUUACUAAGCAACCGUGUCCUAAAAUCUCCGGAGCCAGCGACAGAACUUUGUUUACCAGGAAGAAAGCACUUGAAAAGGAGAAUAUUUGGCGGAAAUGCGCUUUGGGAUUAGCAGAGAGCUGGGAGUGGGGAGGAACGCUGACUGCACCUCGUGAGGACUGUGUGCAUACAGCCACAAGGAGGGGAGAGGAAUGGAAUCUCAAACUCGUUUCCAGCUCCGUCAAGUCCCCAGUCCAUUUCCUGCCAUCGCUAGGACUUCUCACUUUCUUUACGCCCCACCCUAACCUCUGCUUGUCGUUCAGUUGCUUAGUCAGCCCCAUGGACUGCGGCACAACAGGCUUCCCCAUCCUUCACUAUCUCCCGGAGUUUGGUCAGACUCAAGUCCGUUGGGUCGGUGAUGCCAUUCAACCAUCUCAUGCUCUGUCGGCCCCUUCUCCUCCUGCCCUCUGCAUGAAGGGCUAAAGUGAAUGGUGCAGAAAGUCCAGCAUGGGAGGGGACCAAGUGAUGCAGAAGAGGGGUCGCCCGUCCGCAGUGGAUAAACAGGCCCCUGAAUUGUGACCCCUAGCUGAAUGCUUCUGAAUAAAAGUUUCAGGACCACUUGAUCGGCUAAUGUG
This 1162-nucleotide long non-coding RNA is filed under the name Bos indicus x Bos taurus (hybrid cattle). RNAcentral's name for it is "lncRNA (ENSBIXG00000017549.1)". The record is from RNAcentral. Lineage: Eukaryota; Metazoa; Chordata; Mammalia; Artiodactyla; Bovidae.